Molecule: long non-coding RNA, 732 nt
Organism: Peromyscus eremicus (cactus mouse)
Lineage: Eukaryota; Metazoa; Chordata; Mammalia; Rodentia; Cricetidae
Exons: 2
Source: RefSeq, a predicted model, not a curated record
AAGCCAGCAGGCCUGGAUGGACUCUAUUCUGCCACCCAUUGACUGUAUAAUGGAAGGCAAUUUGCUUCAUGAAACUCUACCUCCUUUUCAGGAACAAAAUUAGCUCCUAACCAUAAAGCAAUUCAAACAGCACCUAGCAUACAGGAAAGAUUAAGUGCAAUUCUAGGUGACUACGACAGACAGAGAUUCAACCCUCUCCAGUUUAGAAGCUCUGCUUGGCAUGUGGGAUUUUUCUCACAGGAAGCGCAGUUUUUGUUUGAGGAUCUCAUCAUGAGCCUGACAUUUCCCCACUCACAUUCUAACUACGUACUGCUUUUCUAGACAAUGUCAGUCUUCUCUUCAGAGGGAAAGAACAGCUGGGUUUCUGAAUGUCUGAAUCACAAAUCCUCUUCUGUCACUGCGGCUUUGGGACCUGGGGACCAGCUUAGGGAGAACUUUGUUUUCCCCAGUUCACACAGAGCUAUGCCUGGAGAUGUCCACAUCAAAAUGGUCCCUUUCCUGUUGGUGAAACAGUGAAGGCCUCAGAUCCUUAUCGGUGUUCUUUCCUAAAUAAAGAGAGUAGCAGGAAACCAUUUUGCUUCUUUGAUGCUGUGAAGUGAGCAACUUUGCUCCAUUACCACCUCCCAAGUGUGAUGUUCUGCCUUAUUAUAAGAGGCCUGAAUGCAGUGGGGCUGAGUGAUCACAGAUAGAUCUCUGAAACUUUGAGCCAAAUAAACCCAUUCUUUUAAAUUA